Homarus americanus (American lobster) is the source of this 266-nucleotide long non-coding RNA. RefSeq lists it as uncharacterized. The record is from RefSeq and is a predicted model, not a curated record. Lineage: Eukaryota; Metazoa; Arthropoda; Malacostraca; Decapoda; Nephropidae. The transcript is spliced from 2 exons.
UUCUCAGUCGUUCGGUUGUACAUCACAUAAUUAUAUUCCAUUUACAGCAGAAUAUAGAAAACAAUAUGCUGUUGGACGAUGAUUACUCAAAAAAAAUUAUUAUUUUAAAACAAUCGUCUGGCACCCUCUGUAGUGAAGAUUACGCCCAUCACCGAGGAACAUCAAGUCUGAUAUGUUCGACAUCCAGCCCAGAAAGAAGCGAUCCUGCAGGGAGCUGACGCAUCAGGUCCCGGUAUAACGGCUCGUGCAACCUCGACCCGUAAACA